Molecule: long non-coding RNA, 6784 nt
Organism: Oncorhynchus mykiss (rainbow trout)
Lineage: Eukaryota; Metazoa; Chordata; Actinopteri; Salmoniformes; Salmonidae
Source: Ensembl
GAUCAUCUGGGACCUUCUGUACCACCAGUGUGGCUUCCCUGGAUUUAGGAUGCCUCCUGCGGUGGGAUUGUCCUCAGGCCAACGCUAACACCACCACCUACACCGUCCAAACUAAGACUCAGGGAGAUCCGUGGCAGGACGUGGAGGGGUGUGUGCGGAUCUCCGCCCAGCACUGUGACGUGUCCCAGGCCUUCUCUGACUUUGAACUCUACAACAUGAUCCGCCUGGGCCUCCACCAGGGCCCUGGGAGCCCAGUCUGGACAAAACCACGCAAGUUUGACCCAAGUGAUUUCAGUCAGUAACCUACCUCUCUGCUCUCAAGACCAAUCACAUAUCUAAAAUGCUGGUUUGUUGUUCCAAUCAAAUCAAAUGUCACGUAGAGAGCAUUUAAAAAUCUCAUUACACUGCAGAAUUCAAAUGGAUGUGGCUAAAGCUGCUGACAUGAGUAGGUUGGUGUGAUUGAAAUGACAAAGUGGCUUCUUCCCUUCCCCUCUCCUCUCCUCUCCUCAGCCUUCAACAGCCCCUCCAUCUCUGUGUCUCUGUCUAGAGAGAGGCUGGUAGUGGAGGUGCACUUCCCCUGUUCUACCAACAGAGGGUGCUUUCCUCUGCAGAGCUGCUGUCCACUGUCAGAACUGAUUGACCCCUGGGUCACAGUGACCGUAUAUAACCAACAUAACCACUCUGACUACAAGAGGCGUACUGGUUGGGCCCAGGAGGUGGUGUUCAGGGCUGAGUUCUCAGACCUGGUCCCAGGACAGGACUACUGUGCCUUGGCUAACUUCUCCUUUGGACCCCCCACCUUCCCCCUGGCCUCCUCUCCCCCCUCCCAUCCACACUGUGUCCACCAGGCUGCCCCAGGACCAGGUGAGAGGUCAUGGUUAGGGUUGAUCCAAGGUGUGGACAUUAAGCUAGGGUUAGGGUUGAUCCAGGUUGUGGAUAUUAAGCUAGGGUUAGGGUUGAUCCAGGGUGUGGACAUUAAGCUAGGGUUAGGGUUGAUCCAGGGUGUGGACAUUAAGCUAGGGUUAGGGUUGAUCCAGGGUGUGGACAUUAAGCUAGGGUUAGGGUUGAUCCAAGGUGUGGACAUUAAGCUAGGGUUAGGGUUGAUUCAAGGUGUGGACAUUAAGCUAGGGUUAGGGUUGAUUCAAGGUGUGGACAUUAAGCUGGGGUUAGGGUUGAUUCAAGGUGUGGACAUUAAGCUAGGGUUAGGGUUGAUUCAAGGUGUGGACAUUAAGCUAGGGUUAGGGUUGAUCCAGGGUGUGGACAUUAAGCUAGGGUUAGGGUUGAUCCAGGAUGUGGACAUUAAGCUAGGGUUGAUCCAAGGUGUGGACGUUAAGCUAGGGUUAGGGUUGAUCCAGGGUGUGGAUGUUAAGCUAGGGUUAGGGUUGAUCCAGGUUGUGGACGUUAAGCUAGGGUUUGAGCUAAUGUAUACAACUGUGAUUUCACAAUUAAAUGUGUGUCUGUGUUCACCAGGGUUGCAGCCAGUGUUGUUGGGGAUAGGAGUGUGUGCUGUGCUCUUCUCUGCUCUCCUUGCUCUGGCUCUGUAUCGGCUGAAACAGAAACGAGAUGCACCUCGCAUUAACAGACUCCCCAAGACUCUAGCAACUCUCCAGGCAUCCCUCCAGCACCCCCCAGAGUCCUCUUCAGACCCUGUUGACCCCAGUGACAUCCAUGUGGAGGUUGUGGACGACCACCUCUCCAUCAUGUCUUCCUUGUCCGGCUGUGUCUUCACCAACGCCCAGGCCCCAAGCUUGGGUGACGGGUACAGCAGCAAACCCUUCCCCGGUGACUACAGGUCAGGCAACAUGGACUGGCACACAGGGGGAGACACUGAGCUGGGCCUGAACUCUGGCAGCACCCUGUCCCUGCCAUGCUCCACUGUGCCUAUAGGGCUACAUAUGACCCAGUGCAACUUCGAUUCACCUCUACGACCACAUCCAGGGCCCACGGUGCCAACACUACCCUACCUUGAUUCUCUUUCUCUGUCAGAGGCUGGGGAGGGCCAGGGGGUCCCGCUGUGCUCAGUGAGGUUUGGGGGGGGCGAGUGAAGGGGGUGAGAACCUGGAGGGACUACAGUGGUGUAACCGGUAGCAUGUUGAACUGCAGUACCCAUAAUGCUAUGUACAACAUAUUCUGAUGAACUCCACAGUGCAGUUGAUUUUGGAGGAGAUGAGAUGGGACAGAACUGGACCAAUGAAGAGUAAUGGUGGUCCUAUGUAGCUCUGCUGUUAAAAAGCAAUGGCACUAUCAAACGGCAGGGUUGUGGAUUAGAUUCUCACCAGAAUCACAUACUAAAAAUGUAUGCACUCACUGUAGUGUAGGUCGCUAUGGAUACAAGUUGAACGUCUGCUGAGUGUCAUUGGGAACCUGGUUCUGUCGUAUAUAGCUGUCGAAGGAGACAUGGCUGGGAACUGAAGCGCCAAGCUCAGUUUGAACAACAACACUGACAACCACAGCUUUGUUUUACGCCGUUUGUUUAGUAGGGUUCACAAUAUGGAGCACUUCUGUCAUCCGCAGAGGGCCCCUGUUGGAGCGAGCAGAGCCUCUGAUUCACAGGUACAGCUGGGUGUUUGGGAGGGUUUGCUUGAGGGGUGCUGAGAGUAGUGUGUCAAGUUCAAAAACGUUAUUGUCCAUGUUUGUUUAAAAUGGGAAUUUAUCUUUGGCUUACGGGCAUACAUUUUCAGUUACAGCCGGCAGGGGGGGGGGGGGGGGGGGGGGUUCUUUCAGAGGACUAUGGAGAGCAAUAUUUGUUUCAUGCGAUCCCCUCCCCCCACCCUUCACUGGACUGUGAUAUGGAUAAUGGCGAUUUUAGCAUGUACAUUUUGGUGUGGCCCAAAAAAAUGUGGGCAGCAAAGCCACAACACAACACUAAACAAUACCGUAAUUGCACUAUAAUGGUGACAAACGGUGCCCACAAACUGUUAGGGCCGACAUCAACCUGUCCCAACAUCAGUCACAACAGCAUCUUACCACUGCUACACCUGGCUAUCAGUAGAGCCUUGUCUGGCAGAGAAACAGUUCAUUCAGCCUCAUUUACUGCCUUUAAAAGAAAACAUAGCUGAUAUGGCUGAAUUGAAAUGUAUGACCUAUGGCAUAAGGGAACAACAAGAGGAUAAGAGGCAAUCUGUAAUUUUGAUUAAGACAUUAAUGAGCAAGCUAGGACAGACAUAGUCAAUGCAACUAUUUGUUCAGCACUUUUGAAAUGUACAGCAACAUAAUUCAGAACAUGAGCCAUUCUUAGUGUUCUUCCUGUACACCAAGUCAGAACCAUAGGAUAAAUAAAGGGGGCAUGUAAGUAUACAAUGAAAGCUCUUACAAUAUUCAAUGAUUACAUUUCUCAAAAACAGGUUAUAAGCUACAUGUGCACCACCCAAAAAAUGUAAAGGUGAAAAUAGACCAAAUUAUUAGGGUGAGGCACAUGGGCUACUAACCGCUUACUACACAACAUGCACUUAGUAUUACUUUCUUAGCUACAGUAUACAAAUCUCCCUGGCAUAUUACAUAAUUUAUGUAGCAGCAUACAAUACAUUUUUGGACUCCCCUUGUUGUGCUGUGUUCACUUGAACAGGAAGGUGGUCCUCGUUUUUCCCCGAGGUCCCAGUUGUCUUGAAUUUGCAGUUCCGAGUUAAGUUGUUUUGAGUGCGACACAAAUCAUGCUUCAUUGACAGCAUGGCCAAUGUUGAAUGUUUAUCAUUUUAAACUAGGAAAAGACACCCUUAAUCUUGGACUUGGGACCACACAGCCACUCCACUGAAUAGCAGGCUAAUGAUUGCUUUGCAAUGCUUGCAGUUAGCCACUGAUUCCUUCUAAACCACUCAUUGUUGAAUUUGCAGUUUCCAACUUGUUGUGUAAUGUUUGUCCAAUGGCCGAUGAGCACCAAUACAUUUUAUCUAUAAUUUAUCUUCAUUAUUUCUCUUCAUAUGACAAGGAUUAAAAAGGAUUUGCCAGUAGAUUGUCAACUUCAUUCAUGAUGAUGUCUGCUAGCUAAGAUUUUGAAAGUAUGAUGUUGACAUGAUCAGUCCAAGCAAAGCUACUGUAGAUAUGUGAUUUGAUGUCAUUUCUGUGGCCAAUGACCUUGAGCCUUCUUGGAUGGGCACUUCUAAUGUAACUCUAUGGCAGCACCCAAGGGGCUUGAGUAUUUUCUGCUGGCAGCCCCACCACCACAGAAAGCACUGAGCUAGGCUGAAACACCUGCAUUUUGGAGCUGCCUUACUCAAGAAAACAAAAAGAGACCAUGUUUGAAUGCGGCUUUAUUAACUCAAUUAUAUAUUAUUUUUUACAGUGUUUUCAAACUGACAUGUGACAUGUGCAUGUUAUUUUGGCAUUAAUACAUUUUUUUUUGCUAAAAAUGUGGGGCUCAAAACAGGUGGGGUCUCCACUACGUAUGGACAAAACUGGACUAUCAUAAACAUAUACCAAGGGGGGUUUAUUAUUCUGACCACACCUUUAUUUCCUCUACCUACUGUACUGUGUGAAGUCUUGUCAGGAGAAUUCUAUACUCCUGUUCAUUUACCAAUUCAAUUAAGUUACCCUUAGUCUGUUAUAUCAGGAUUUGUAAGAUACUGAUAGAAAAGGAAACGGAGAGAGGCCCAGUCUACCAAAGUUAAAUGUUUAUUCACGGGAACGUUCUGACGUGUACAGUACAGGACCUUCAAUUUAUAGCGACACACAUACUUCCACACCCACCAUCAAAUCCGCCCGCCAUUAGAGCCUAGGGGAGAACGAAAGAAUAGUGUCUUCCUACCCUCCCCUAAGAUAGGGAGAGACCUGGGACUGGGAAGUGUCCCAGCCAAGGUCUCCUCGGAUCUGGCACAGACAGAUAGUCUGUUCUCAAAACACUAGACACAUUGUUCCCAAAAUGUUGAUUCUGACUAAAACCACACACCGUAUUAUAAUAUAAUCAUUGAAUGAGUCUAACACUUACACACAUAUUAUAACAAUCUAUUGAUUCAAAUUCAUUUCAUACAAUCACAUGGUAUCAGACCUAUGGUUUCAGGACUGUAACAUUCUAAUCAUUUAUUAAAACACAUUUCCUUAUCAAGCCUCUACCUCCGUGUUUCUCCUGUUUUCUCUAUGUGAUAACAGGAGUUCGUUUCCCCCCCCUCUCUGGCUCUCUCUCUGCCUUGCUUCUGACUCACUGUUGCCCCAUCCUACCUCUGGCCUGACCCGCUGUCUUUUACCCGUGUCUGACACCUCAUUCCUGGGGGGGAGGUGGGGGGGGGGUUACACAUCACUUUUGCUGGUGGUGCACUUUUUCUGGUACAUUAGGAAACCCAGGGGGGUGGGAGAAAGAGUGAGAGGAGACGGAGGAGAGGCAUGAAAACAGUGGCCCCAUUCAAAUCCUCCUCAGUUCUGGAACACUCAUAUUCAUAGAACUGUGUCGGGGAUUUUGAUUGAUGUUAGGUUAAUGUUGGACCGUCAGUGAAUCCAAACUAAGCAGUGUGUGUCUGCCUGCCAAUCACAUAGCUGUAACGUUAUUCCACAGGCGUCCAACUGAGAAUUCACAUCUAACCUUGAACUGAGGUUUUUGGAUGAGCUUUUUAUGGGUCCUGCUAUAUUUGCAGUCAAUUGAGUAGAAACUUGAUCCAAGAUGGACGCCUUGUAGCUCGGCUCCCCACUGGUGUAUGCUGGCUUGCUCUGCCACUGAGGUGAAGUUGGAUUAGUGAUUUAUGUGGUGUUCAACAUGGUGACCUUUCUCGAAAAGGUCUAAUUUAUGUGUCAGCUGAAGCCGUCUCUGCUAGAGUAUCUGAAAUGAAAUACAUUUUGCAUUUUUACUUUCCAUUCAGUGCAUACCGGUCUUUGAAUGUCAAGUUUGCUCAUAUGUAAAUGUAAAUUAACCAAAGAGGAGAGGGGGGAAAAAGAGACAAAUGCAUAUGCGAGAGUACAGCGGAGCUUGAAGAAAAAAACACAACUCACAAGCCUCAUAAAAACAGCUUGAAAUGAGGUAACAUUCAGUGCAGAUGAGGGCACGUUUCAGAUCGGCUUAUGAAACUGUUUGCACAGUGCUAGAUAAGUGUAAUUGAUGGAUUCCUUUUCUGUAUAAUUCACUUUCUAACACCAUGAGUUAGUGUAAAAUUAGAUAAGAAAUAUUUCAGAGUAAUUUGAAGUUCUUUUGUGUGUGAUACAGUAUUUUAACAAACUUGUUACAUAUUUAUCUUGCUUUCUGUUUUUGUUUUCCUAACCGGUUGAAUAAUGAAAGAAGUGGGUACUGCUGUUCAUUUCUGCAUAAAUAAAAAGCAACUUAAAGGUUACAAUAACAACUGUGAGGGUCAAGUCAAAGUCCUGGUACCUUCAAAAAAUACAGAAGUGUAAAUGCAAUGUGUAGUAGUGUCCUUUCUUGUACUUCAAACAAAAAAUAUCAAAAAUAAUAAUAAUAAUAAUCUCAACUAAAAAGCAAUUUACAAAUGUUACAGUUGCACCUAUGAUCGGCUUUACUAUUUCGUUCAAACCAGUUGACGUUGUGUUCCUCGUGUUUGAGCUGACACACGGACCCAGUUUACAUCCCAAGUGGCGGUGUUGUCAUUUUAUAGUGCACAACCUUUGACCAGGAAGUAUACACCCUAUAAAGGGAACAAGGUACAAUUUGAGACAUAGCUCAAGUGACAGAAGCACACAGGCAUGACCACACCGACCAAUUCAGAUGACGAGCGGUUAAAGUUACGACUCUAUAGUGUGAGAAUGAAAUCAAACACGUGUACCCUUUAAUUCAUAAAGCAAGUUGCAUGCUCUACUUACUUACAAAAUGUGAUCUUAUGUCCACAAUAGAUGUCUAUAUGAUACAUACAAU